RNAcentral lists this ribosomal RNA (216 nucleotides) under uncultured Glomus. RNAcentral describes it as "partial small subunit ribosomal RNA". The stretch from base 40 to 216 matches the Rfam family "Eukaryotic small subunit ribosomal RNA", at positions 686 to 864 of the family's 1831-position model. Lineage: Eukaryota; Fungi; Glomeromycota; Glomeromycetes; Glomerales; Glomeraceae. The record is from RNAcentral.
GGGUCAGCAGGUUGGUCGUGCCAAUGGUAUGAACUGGCCUUGCUGAUUCCUCCCUCUUGAUGAGCCGUAAUGUUAUUAAUUUGGUGUUGCGGGGAAUCAGGACUGUUACUUUGAAAAAAUUAGAGUGUUUAAAGCAGGCAAUCGCUUGAAUACAUUAGCAUGGAAUAAUGAAAUAGGACGUUCGAUCCUAUUUUGUUGGUUUCUAGGAUUGACGUA